UCCUGGGAGGACUAGAGGUUAGGCCUCAGCGCUCUCACUGCCACGGCCCGGGUUCGAUUCCUGUCCAGGGAA
This is a non-coding RNA of Pangasianodon gigas (Mekong giant catfish), 72 nucleotides long. NCBI's taxonomy places the organism in Eukaryota, Metazoa, Chordata, Actinopteri, Siluriformes, Pangasiidae. The record is from the annotation of a GenBank genome assembly.